This is a long non-coding RNA of Ruditapes philippinarum (Manila clam), 2923 nucleotides long. RefSeq lists it as uncharacterized. The record is from RefSeq and is a predicted model, not a curated record. Lineage: Eukaryota; Metazoa; Mollusca; Bivalvia; Venerida; Veneridae. The transcript has 3 exons.
UUUAUAGAAAUGUCUGCAGGAAGUUUACAGAACUUUAUGACCGUGCUGCAAAAUCUGCCGCAGUCAGUAACAGUAAAGAUUAGAAACAUUAAACCGGAAAGAGAAUAUGACCAUGUUAGAGAAAAUAUUCGGAGAUCACAGAAUUUUCAUGUUAUACAAGACGGCAGCAGGGGGCAGUCAUUUGAGUUCAAAACAAUAAAACCAAGCAAAGAAUAGACAAGAAAAAACAUUGUGAAAUGAAAUGAAGAAGUUACUUCAACAAUUUUAAAUAAACAAAACAAUUUAAAUAUGGACAUUUAGAAACAAAAUGGCGGUUCUUCGAACGACAUUAUAGUCUUCAAUUAGGACAUACAUGUAAUUUUCGUUUCCAAUUAAAACAUUAAUUGACAAUUGAUUAUAGAUUUUAAAAAAUAACUGAUAUAAAUAAUUCGUGGAAGGUCUUUUACAAGUUUUUUACGGAACUUAAUGGAUAUAUAAGUUGGACAAGGAUGUGGAAAUAUUUCACAGCGGCAUUGGAACAAAUUUUCAAAUUAUUUAUGAUGCAGAACCUCUUGUGACGUUUACCAUUAUGAUUUGUGUGGUGAUAGAUCAAUUUUAUUGGGAUGAUGGGAUAUGUUUUGAACAACUUCUUUGGAAACUGAAGUUUCAUGUUUCUUGCAAGAAAAGGAGCUUCAGCAAAACUACAGUGACAAUGAUAACAACGCUUCAAUCACGACUUGACAUCUGGUUCCUGGCAUUACAGAAACAAACACGAAAGAAAAUUGCUCCAAGAUAGUUUCGUACAAUCUACUGAUUCUUGGCUUAACCAGAAACGGACUAGCAAACUUUUGCAUUGAUUAAAACAUUUACUUUUUUCUUCAAGGGGAAUUUACCUGUAAAAAGAUAUCACCACCAAGACUGCUGUCAAAUAUAUCCCUGAGUUCCUUCAAAAUAUGUUUCGUGAAUUAUGGUCAUACCGUAGAAAAUUAAAUCAAAAUUCAGGGUGGAAACCUUUAUUGAUUUUAGAACAUCUUAUUGAAAUAAUUAUAUUGUUUUAUCAAAUAUGGGACAUAAAGUAUAGAGGGAUAAGCAACUACCGACUGGAUAAACUGUCUUAUGUUGGCGUCCAAUUGACAGCCGAUCUUCGAUAUAGUUUUAAAAAAAAACAACAUUCGCCAUUUGUUCUAUACUUUUCUUAUUUACGCUUAUUACAACGGGCAAAAAUAUACACGUUUACAACUAUCAAAAAGACAAAUUAGCAACUGUUUGGUGGAAAAGAUAACGUAGCGCUGAUCUCCAGUUGCUUGUCCUAUUAUAUUUUGUUCUAGAUCCAAGGAAAACGGAUGUUACAUAUGUACUGUAUCUUAAGAGCUAUUAUCAUUUUUAUUUAAUUAGAUAUGCAUGUAUAAAUUUAUUUAGCAAUUUAGUAUUAAAAUGAUUCAACAAGAAUUAUUAGACAAAACCUACAUGUAAUUUAUCAUUGGCAUUAUUGUAAAAUCUGACAAAGCAUAUACUUAUAGUCUUAUAAUUACAUGUAUUAAAGUUUUGUAAUGUAGUUUUAUUUUACUCUUUUUUAUUGUUUUCUUUUCUUUUUAAUUUCUGCGUAAACGAUUGCAGUGGUGACAUAAAGGAAUAUUGAAAGUAUGUUCCAAAAGUAAAUAUUACAAAUUUGUUCAUGUUGUAGUUUGCUUUUUGUGAUACCUUUAUUUAUAUGUAUAAGUGUAUAUAACUUAAAUGUAUAUUAAUUGUAUUAUUAGUUAUAAUGAUUUUGCCAUGUUACAUUCGCGUAGUGUCCGAGUUAUACGUUUACAGCUAUUUAUAUAGCCCACAUAUAUACCCUGUCAAAAAUCUUUUUAACUUAGUACAUUUUGUAUACUAGUAUAAUAUUCAAAAACUCCUUAUGAGAUCCUUGCAUUCAAGGAAAUACAAAUCAUCAUUUAUUCUGCUUAGAUGUGUUUAUCAGUAGAAGGUUUGUCUGUAUAUAUUAAAGGCCCAUUUAGCUCCAAAGAGCUAAUUUCUUAACUUUUUAUUUUUACUGUCAUUUAUCCUUAGUAAUAGGUUAACUAUCUUUUGCUUCUUUCGCAAUUUGUUUAAUUACAUUGAUUUAGUAUUUUGUAUGGAAGUCAACAAAGUUAUAGUGAUUACAUUGUUCUACCUUACAACACAUAACUGUACAUUCAACUUUAGUUGUUUAUGUUGUUUAGCAUCUAACAUCAUGAACAUAGACUAGAGAGCUACUCUAAUACAUUAUUAAAUAUUAUUGAACACAUGUUUGACCUGUCUAAAAAAUAAAGUAUAAUUUCUAUUUUUAAGGCAUCAUUUGACGUUAAGAUUCAAAUUUGUACACAAUCUCAUUUUUUGCAAAUCCAUUUUCUAAUCAUUUCUGAUGGUUUUGAUUAAAGGCCCACUAGGCUUCAGAAAUGCUAUCUUUUUUUUCCCAACUUUUUAUUUAUAAGGCAUCUUAUAACAGUUUCGGAACACAUAUUCAUUUGCUUUAUACAUGCAUUUUCGUUUGUACUUUAAAAAUGCUAUUUCUUUACCCUAAAAAAAACUUUUUAUUUAUAAGGCAUCUUAUAACAGUUUCGGAAUACAUAUUCAUUCGCUUUAUACAUGAAUUUUCGUUUGCAUCAUUAAUCUGUUGACAGUUGGUAAAAUUAUAGUGAAUAAGUUAUUCGUAUGGAAGUCAAAAUACUUCUUUACUUACAUUUCGUACCCGUAAUUAAGACAUAUUAUCACAUGUUCCGUAUCAUUUUCUUUUCAGUUUUAAACAUCUCAAAUGCAAUAGAUCUAUCAUUUAAACAUAUUUAUUAAGGUUCCAAUUAUUAAACACAUAUAUUACAUUUCUAAAGAGUUAAAAAAGUAUGGAUUUCUGAGGCAUAAUGUGCCUUUAAGUAUAUUCAAGUUGAUAUAUAUAGAACCUGAAAUUAUAUCCAAAACAAAAAAA